Molecule: ribosomal RNA, 1287 nt
Filed under: uncultured organism
Description: bacterial SSU rRNA
Rfam family: Bacterial small subunit ribosomal RNA
Source: RNAcentral
AAUUUGAGGCAUCUCAAAUUGAUUAAAGCUCCGGCGGUUAGAGAUGGGCAUGCGUGUCAUUAGCUAGUUGGUGAGGUAACGGCUCACCAGUGCCACGAUGACUAGGGGGUCUGAGAGGAUGAUCCCCCACACUGGUACUGAGACACGGACCAGACUCCUACGGGAGGCAGCAGUGAGGAAUAUUGGGCAAUGGACGCAAGUCUGACCCAGCCAUGCCGCGUGCAGGAUGACUGCCCUAUGGGUUGUAAACUGCUUUUGGUUUGGGGAAAGAAACUUCCCCGAUCGUGAUCGGGGCUGACGGUUAACCUUACGAAAUAAGCAUCCGGCUAACUCCGUGCCCAGCAGCCGCGGGUAAAUACGGGAGGGAUGCAAGGCGUUAUCCGGGAUUCAUUGGGUUUAAAGGGUGCGCAGGCGGAAUAUUAAGUCAGUGGUGAAAUCCUGCAGCUUAACUGUAGAACUGCCAUUGAUACUGGUAUUCUUGAAUGUAGUUGAGGUGGGCGGAAUGUGUAAUGUAGCGGUGAAAUGCUUAGAUAUUACACAGAACACCAAUUGCGAAGGCAGCUCACUAAACUAUGAUUGACGCUGAGGCACGAAAGCGUGGGUAGCAAACAGGAUUAGAUACCCUGGUAGUCCACGCCGUAAACUAUGAUCACUCGCUGUUGGCAAUACAUCGUCAGCGGCUGAGCGAAAGCAUUAAGUGAUCCACCUGGGGAGUACGGUCGCAAGAUUGAAACUCAAAGGAAUUGACGGGGGCCCGCACAAGCGGAGGAACAUGUGGUUUAAUUCGAUGAUACGCGAGGAACCUUACCUGGGCUUAAAUGCAGAGCGACGUUCCGGGAAACCGGAAUUCCUUCGGGUGAUCUGCAAGGUGCUGCAUGGCUGUUGUCAGCUCGUGCCGUGAGGUGUCGGGUUAAGUCCCAUAACGAGCGCAACCCUUAUCGUUAGUUGCCAGCGGGUAAUGCCGGGGACUCUAACGAAACUGCCGGUGUAAACCGUGAGGAAGGUGGGGAUGACGUCAAGUCAGCACGGCCCUUAUGUCCAGGGCUACACACGUGUUACAAUGGUCGGUACAGAGGGCAGCUACCUGGCAACAGGAUGCUAAUCUCGAAAACCGGUCUCAGUUCGGAUUGGAGUCUGCAACUCGACUUCAUGAAGCUGGAUUCGCUAGUAAUCGCGCAUCAGCCAUGGCGCGGUGAAUACGUUCCCGGGCAUUGUACACACCGCCCGUCAAGCCAUGGAAGCUUGGAGUACAUGAAGUCCGUAACCGCAAGGAGCGGCACUAGGGUA